CAUAAUAUCUGGAAUGAUUUAUGGUUUAAAUCUAUAUGGCCUCUGGAUUGGACUGCGGCCGAUCAGGCUGUUGGUGAGGUAAUGGCCCACCAAACCUAAAACCGGUACGGGCUCUGAGAGGAGAAGCCCGGAGAUGGGCACUGAGACAAGGGCCCAGGCCCUAUGGGGCGCAGCAGGCGCGAAAACUCUGCAAUAAGCGAAAGCUUGACAGGGUUAUUCUGAGUGAUUUCCGCUAAGGAAAUCUUUUGGCACCUCUAAAAAUGGUGCAGAAUAAGGGGUGGGCAAGCCUGGUGUCAGCCGCCGCGGUAAUACCAGCACCCCGAGUGGUCGGGACGAUUAUUGGGCCUAAAGCAUCCGUAGCCGGUUCUACAAGUCUUCCGUUAAAUCCACCUGCUUAACAGAUGGGCUGCGGAAGAUACUAUAGAGCUAGGAGGCGGGAGAGGCAAGCGGUACUCGAUGGGUAGGGGUAAAAUCCGUUGAUCCAUUGAAGACCACCAGUGGCGAAGGCGGCUUGCCAGAACGCGCUCGACGGUGAGGGAUGAAAGCUGGGGGAGCAAACCGGAUUAGAUACCCGGGUAGUCCCAGCUGUAAACGAUGCAGACUCGGUGAUGAGUUGGCUUAUUGCUAACUCAGUGCCGCAGGGAAGCCGUUAAGUUUGCCGCCUGGGGAGUACGGUCGCAAGACUGAAACUUAA
This 694-nucleotide ribosomal RNA is filed under the name uncultured archaeon. Its description in RNAcentral is "bacterial SSU rRNA". It matches the Rfam family "Archaeal small subunit ribosomal RNA", at positions 162 to 859 of the family's 1478-position model. The record is from RNAcentral.